This 235-nucleotide ribosomal RNA is filed under the name uncultured Bacillota bacterium. RNAcentral describes it as "uncultured Firmicutes bacterium partial 16S ribosomal RNA". It matches the Rfam family "Bacterial small subunit ribosomal RNA", at positions 99 to 334 of the family's 1533-position model. The record is from RNAcentral. Lineage: Bacteria; Bacillati; Bacillota.
CGGACGGGUGAGUAACGCGUGGGCAACCUGCCCUGUACUGGGGGAUAACACCUGGAAACAGGUGCUAAUACCGCAUAAGCGCGCAGUGCCGCAUGGCACGGCGCGGAAAACCCCGGUGGUACAGGAUGGGCCCGCGUCUGAUUAGCUGGUUGGCAGGGUAACGGCCUACCAAGGCGACGAUCAGUAGCCGGCCUGAGAGGGUGGACGGCCACAUUGGGACUGAGAUACGGCCCAA